UGCAGUCGAACGGUAACAGGUCUUCGGAUGCUGACGAGUGGCGAACGGGUGAGUAAUGCAUCGGAACGUGCCCAGUCGUGGGGGAUAACGUAGCGAAAGCUACGCUAAUACCGCAUACGAUCUAUGGAUGAAAGCGGGGGACCGUAAGGCCUCGCGCGAUUGGAGCGGCCGAUGUCAGAUUAGGUAGUUGGUGGGGUAAAGGCUCACCAAGCCAACGAUCUGUAGCUGGUCUGAGAGGACGACCAGCCACACUGGAACUGAGACACGGUCCAGACUCCUACGGGAGGCAGCAGUGGGGAAUUUUGGACAAUGGGCGCAAGCCUGAUCCAGCAAUGCCGCGUGCAGGAAGAAGGCCUUCGGGUUGUAAACUGCUUUUGUACGGAACGAAACGGUCUGAGUUAAUACCUCGGGCUAAUGACGGUACCGUAAGAAUAAGCACCGGCUAACUACGUGCCAGCAGCCGCGGUAAUACGUAGGGUGCAAGCGUUAAUCGGAAUUACUGGGCGUAAAGCGUGCGCAGGCGGUUUUGUAAGACAGUCGUGAAAUCCCCGGGCUCAACCUGGGAAUUGCGAUUGUGACUGCAAGGCUGGAGUGCGGCAGAGGGGGAUGGAAUUCCGCGUGUAGCAGUGAAAUGCGUAGAUAUGCGGAGGAACACCGAUGGCGAAGGCAAUCCCCUGGGCCUGCACUGACGCUCAUGCACGAAAGCGUGGGGAGCAAACAGGAUUAGAUACCCUGGUAGUCCACGCCCUAAACGAUGUCAACUGGUUGUUGGGUCUCUUCUGACUCAGUAACGAAGCUACGCGUG
Molecule: ribosomal RNA, 805 nt
Filed under: Hydrogenophaga sp. 8K
Lineage: Bacteria; Pseudomonadati; Pseudomonadota; Betaproteobacteria; Burkholderiales; Comamonadaceae
Description: bacterial SSU rRNA
Rfam family: Bacterial small subunit ribosomal RNA
Source: RNAcentral